This 500-nucleotide ribosomal RNA is filed under the name uncultured bacterium. Its description in RNAcentral is "bacterial SSU rRNA". It matches the Rfam family "Bacterial small subunit ribosomal RNA", at positions 30 to 523 of the family's 1533-position model. The record is from RNAcentral.
AUUGAACGCUGGCGGCAGGCCUAACACAUGCAAGUCGAGCGGAUGACAGGAGCUUGCUCCUGAAUUCAGCGGCGGACGGGUGAGUAAUGCCUAGGAAUCUGCCUGGUAGUGGGGGACAACGUUUCGAAAGGAACGCUAAUACCGCAUACGUCCUACGGGAGAAAGCAGGGACCGUUCGGGCCUUGCGCUAUCAGAUGAGCCUAGGUCGGAUUAGCUAGUUGGUGAGGUAAUGGCUCACCAAGGCGACGAUCCGUAACUGGUCUGAGAGGAUGAUCAGUCACACUGGAACUGAGACACGGUCCAGACUCCUACGGGAGGCAGCAGUGGGGAAUAUUGGACAAUGGGCGAAAGCCUGAUCCAGCCAUGCCGCGUGUGUGAAGAAGGUCUUCGGAUUGUAAAGCACUUUAAGUUGGGAGGAAGGGCAUUAACCUAAUACGUUAGUGUUUUGACGUUACCGACAGAAUAAGCACCGGCUAACUCUGUGCCAGCAGCCGCGGUAA